CGAAAGUGGUCCAGUUUCGAGCGUGUGCUUGGGUUAGCCCGGCCAAAGUCCGUAGAUCCUAACUUUUGUUUGCCCCAAAAUGCCCUUGCCUUUCUCCUUGUACUCCUCAUGAAUUCUCCGAACUCCCAACCCCUGCGUUCGCUUCAUCUUUCUCAGCUCUUCCUUCUGAGCUGAGAGCCUCUGAGGCUGCAAUCGUUUUAUUCAUCUCUGCUUAUCAGACUCUCCCAGAGAUCGAAGGAUGCUCUUAGGUUUACUUAGAUGGGAUUAAUUUUGAUGGAGAAACUUGGAUGACAGUGCUGUGACAAAGCUGAUGCUCAUUGUGUAUUCCGAGAGUUCUUAAGAGGCAGAGAGAAGCGAUCACAAUAAAAGGUCUGAUGAACGGUACUUCUGCAUCCAGCAGCCUCAAAGCAGCCUUCUCGUAUUGUGUGCAGCAAGUACGGAGUUAUGAUUAUCACCACUACCUUUGUCUCCUCCAUCUCCCACCUGACAUGCGGAGGGCUGCAUUUGCCCUCCGUGCUUUCAAUGUGGAGACAGCUAGAGCCAUGGAUGUUGCUUCUGAUCCCAGAAUUGGCCUUAUGCGUCUCCUCUGGUGGCAGGAGGCCAUAGACAAGAUCUUUGCUCACAAGGUCAUUGAGCACCCAACAGCUCAGGCCCUCUCCCAUAUAAUCUCUGAGCAUAAAAUCAGCAAGGGUUGGCUUAAACGGUCUGUUGAAGCUCGGAUCAAUGAUGCAAGAAGAGAUGAGACUGACAUCCCGGAGACAGUCGGUGAGCUAGAGAAAUAUGCUGAGGAGACAGCAUCCAUUAUGCUUUAUUUGACGCUACAAGCUGGUGGUAUCAGUUCUACUGCAGCAGAUCAUGCCGCCUCACAUAUUGGGAAAGCAAGUGGCCUUCUAUUGCUGCUUAAGUCACUGCCUUAUCAUGCUAGUCGUAACCGCCAUAUUUCCUAUAUACCAGCUGAUGUAGCAUCUAACCACGGGUUAUUAGUUAAGCAUGGAAAUCAAUCAGAAAUUCAGAUGGACAACCGUGAGGGGCUGUCAGAUGCAGUUUUUGAGAUAGCAUCAGUAGCUAAUGUCCAUCUACAGAAAGCUUGUGAAUUGGCUGGGACGGUACCUACCAAGGCUCUUCCAGUGCUUCUGCCAGCUGUGCCUGCACAGGUUCUGUUGGACUCACUACGUCGUGCACACUUUGAUGUGUUUGAUCCAAGGUUAGCUCGAGGAGUUCUUGGGAUCUCUCCAUUGUGGUUCCAAUUGAAGUUGAAGUGGCAUGCAUGGAGAAGGAAGUACUGAAUCUCAUUCCCCCCCCCCCCCCCACCCCCCACCCCGCUGCUUCUCAAGUAUUCAUAAGAUGAGGACUAAAACUGGCUGGAAUAUGGCUAGUCACUGAGGACUCUUCGCACUCCCAAUCAACAGGAACCCUGGACUUUGAUUAUAAUGGAUGCAACUGAUUAAAAUAAAUUUUUAUAACCUAAAAUAAUGAUCUAUCCAUAUUUCUCAUUGAGGUGUUAUCUACUAAUUUGAAGAUUCAGAUGAAUGGUUAUCUUAUUGGCCUAUGGAAAAGAUAUUAGAGAAUAAUUUUUAAAUCUCACAUUGAAGAUCAUCCACAAAUGCUAUGUAUAUCUUUGUAUUCUGGUAUAUUUUCCUUCCUGAACUGAA
Macadamia integrifolia is the source of this 1652-nucleotide RNA transcript. It is a transcript of the gene named NADH dehydrogenase (ubiquinone) complex I, assembly factor 6, with no coding region annotated. The transcript is spliced from 3 exons. The record is from RefSeq and is a predicted model, not a curated record. NCBI's taxonomy places the organism in Eukaryota, Viridiplantae, Streptophyta, Magnoliopsida, Proteales, Proteaceae.